GCGGAGGCGGCGGCGCUGGGACCCCCCUCCCCACUUCCCUCGGGGUUCCUGUGUGUCCGGGGGGUGAGCGAGCUCCCCUGAUUCCUGGUGCGGGCUCGGGCCUGGGGCGCGGCCGCACCCCUCACCCACAGCGGCGCGGGGGCCCAGCCGUGGGGAACGCCCUCCCGGGAUGAAGCGCUUCCCGUGCCUAUCAACAGAAUGGAUGCGCGGCACCCUUACCACGAUACACUUUUUUUCUUCAUUAUUAUCUGAAUGUGACUAGAACUUGCUCACCUGCGAGACACUGUACUAAGCACCUCCCAGGAUUUUCCAGUUUGGUCCUCCUGGCAAAUCUAUUUUUUAUUUUACUGAACAGGAAAACAUAUAAUGCAAACAGCCAUAUAAUAAAUGACGACGUCUCAAUGCCAGGAUGUCCUGGGCCAUUACAAGUUGCCAAGCCCUGGGCUGACACCUGGACCACCAGCCCGUUCAUUCAACGCUGACAACUACUCCGGGAUGGGACCCUUAUUUUACAGACCAAGAGACACAAGCACCGAGGAGCAAAUGUACCCUUAUAGCUCUGGCUGGACAGUUGUGAUGGUUUACAUCUGUAGCGUCCGUCCUUUGGGGGCAGAGACAGGAGGAUUAUUAAUUUGAAGCCAGACUGGGUUACCUAGUGAGACCUCAUGUCAAACAACAACACACAAAUGUCAGAUUGACCGCAAGUGGGUGAGCUGAGGAUGUCAGACAUAUUCAUGAUGUCAUUAUUUCUAUCAUAAACCACUAUACCAUGUUACCCACCUCUUUAAAGAACACACAAUAAACCUAUUAAUUAUA
RNAcentral lists this long non-coding RNA (816 nucleotides) under Mus musculus (house mouse). Its description in RNAcentral is "RIKEN cDNA A930005G22 gene, transcript variant 2 (A930005G22Rik)". The record is from RNAcentral. Lineage: Eukaryota; Metazoa; Chordata; Mammalia; Rodentia; Muridae.